This is a long non-coding RNA of Pan troglodytes (chimpanzee), 2619 nucleotides long. RefSeq lists it as uncharacterized. The record is from RefSeq and is a predicted model, not a curated record. Lineage: Eukaryota; Metazoa; Chordata; Mammalia; Primates; Hominidae. The transcript is spliced from 2 exons.
GGCCACCUCCAAAGAGACCUGCUGCUCCACCCCCAAUCUGUUGCUUGUGCCUUACUAGAGGUUUCUACCCUUUUCGGCGCCACAUCCCAGGGAAGGAAGAAACAUGCUCCAGGGCUGGAAGUUCGUCUUUGAGGGGAGGAAGUUCCCUGGAGUCUGCAGCAGAUGGGGGAGGCCCCAGUGGGGCGCACGUGGAUGCAUUUCUGGGAGGAAACCAAGUACCAUCCGCUCUCGCUCGCUCCCAUCCAGUGUUUUCUUCCCCCGAACUAGAAAGAAUGCUUCAGUCCCACAAUAUGGUUGGUUGGAGAGGAGAAGAAAAAGAAGACAUCAAAAAGAAAAUCUAGUGCUGGCUGGAUAUAGAGUAUGAAGAUGUGGAGCUGGGAAAACAGAGGACGUGGUGGGAUGCGGAAGGAAAGGUUGUGGAAGGCCUGCAUCCCGUCUCAGUUCCUCCACUGCUUCGUCCCAGAUUCUGUUUUUGUUUUCCUGAAUCAGACUUAGUCUCCCUCCAUUCUCCCGUCCCCUGUGUGCCCCCAUCCUGGUCCCGCCUCACUGGACAGCCUCUCCGCGGCCUUCCUCCUCCCUGCUCCAGAAUUCUACUUGGUGCCCCCCAACCCCACUCGACUCAUUGUCCACCUGGCCUCUGAGGCCAGGCACCCUCAUUCCCCUCUCCCACCCACCCCACCCAAGGAAGCCCAGCACAGACCAUCUCAGCUCACUCCACCCUCACUUCUUUACCAAAUGCAUUUCCAAACACCCUCAUGAGCUUUGCUGAUCUCUUUGCCAUCUCUCCCUGCCCUACUCCGAGGGCUCCUCCUGCCUGGUGAAGACUGCCCUGGGUACCCCAGAACUGAACCUGCAGCAGCCAGCACAGCUGACCUUGGGGCGAUAAGCAGCCAGGGAAAGGCUUUCUUAAAAAAAAAAAAAACAAAAAACAAUAACUCAGUAAGCAGAUUAAACAAAGGUAGAGACAGAGCCCUCCACCCCUCUCACACACACACUCAUCCUCACACACAGCUAUACCACACCCCACAAAUGUUGCUUAUGUUUCCUUGGUCAUUGUGUCCAUCCUCCUGUCUGUCCAAAGCCAAGGACACUGCUCUACUCUAAAUUUUUUGUCACGAAGCCCCCAAAUACUGCAACCCUGACCCAAUGCACGAAGCCACCCCAAAAUACAGCAGAGGACACCAGGACUUUCAUUUUCCCUCAUUAUGGCCCAUCCUUUGGGUAUGCCAACUCCAUGGCCACCAAGCACUGCAUGUGGGACAGGGCACAGUUUGGAGGCCUUGGUCCAGCCACUGGCCCAGACCCACCUUGGCUCUCUCCUCACUAACACCCAAGAAGCCCAGACUUCCCAGUGUUUAGCAACAGAUUAAACUCUAAGCCAACAACAACAGAACAGGGUGGAGUGAGUGGAAAGCAAAUGAAAUGUUAAAAAAAAAUUAAGCAAUACUUGCAUUCUCAUUAGUAGGAACAUGUGAGAUGAAGCAUGUUAUGUUAUUAGGCAUUCUCUUGAUUCGGUAAACACAAGCUGAAUAAAUUUAUAAAUAUCAGCAUUAAGCGAGAUUUAACGGGGAGCUGUUUAUCUUCUGCCUGUCAAGCAGGCGGCAACACUCUCCAUGUAUCACUCGCCAGCCGUGCAGUCCUCACUCUCUUGCCCAGGUAAGCUGGGGCAGAGCCUGCUGCAGCCCAACUCUGGUUGUGGGAGGGCUGGCACCAAGGAGCUGCGAGCUUACCUCAACUCAUCUCACCUGACCAUGCCGGCUGCAAGGCGGCCCCUGCAGUCCGUGCUCAGGAGGUCACACUCCCAUGCUGCAUCCCAGCCCCUCCAGCAGCAGAGCAUGACCUGGGUGACUUUGAGGAUGCUAUUUAACCUCUCUAAGCUAAAGCUCCUCAACUGCAGCAUCAACAGAUCAGUGCCGACCUGUUAAGGCCGUCGAGAGCAUCAAAUGCUACUGUUCAGCAGGUGCCUGACACAUAGUAGGUCCACAAGCAAAUGGUUUUCCUGCUUGCAUCAUUUCUAGCACAGAGCUGGAGGAAAUGGCAAGGUGCAGGUGGCCGCUGGGCCCUGCUGUUCUACAUGGGAGCAAGACAGCUGCUAGGUGAAGGGGAAUGACCAGGCAGCCACAGGGAGGACAUGUGGCCUCAGGAAGCCUGGGGGUGUAUCCUGGUUCUGCUAGGAAAACGUGUGGGGCUUUGUGUGGGUGACUCUCUGGCUCCCCAAGCCUCCCUUUCCUACUGUUAUAUCCUUAAAGUGACUCUGAGGCCAAAGCCUUUGUGGCAAUUGUCAAAUGAGUCCAUAUGCAGUGAGUAUCGUGUUGAGGGAGGACAAGGUCACCAAGAGCUGAGAAUGCUUCUCCGAGUGAUGAGACCUAGAUAUUGGGUACAUGGAGGUCCCCGGUCCCUUUGUGAUUCCUGCAGCCUGUUGCCUCCUUGCCUGGACCCUGCCUCAGCUCAGAAAGCCAAUUUCCUAGAUUCCAAAGGCCUUCCCAGACCAAUUAGCAUGUCCUGCAGCUGUCAGCUCCCUGUGCCUAGCCUGGACCUCAGCCCAUGUCUAGCACCCAGUCUCCCAACCCCACACAUAUUCACAAAUAAAAGAAAAUAAAAAAUGACAUAAAUUCUUCA